GGGCGGUUAGCUCAGUUGGCUAGAGCAUCUGGUUUACAUCCAGAAGGUCGAUGGUUCGAGUCCAUUACCGCCCACCA
This 77-nucleotide transfer RNA is filed under the name Lentisphaeria bacterium. Its description in RNAcentral is "tRNA-Val". It matches the Rfam family "tRNA". From Rfam's summary of the family: Transfer RNA (tRNA) molecules are approximately 80 nucleotides in length. Their secondary structure includes four short double-helical elements and three loops (D, anti-codon, and T loops). Further hydrogen bonds mediate the characteristic L-shaped molecular structure. tRNAs have two regions of fundamental functional importance: the anti-codon, which is responsible for specific mRNA codon recognition, and the 3' end, to which the tRNAs corresponding amino acid is attached (by aminoacyl-tRNA synthetases). tRNAs cope with the degeneracy of the genetic code in two manners: having more than one tRNA (with a specific anti-codon) for a particular amino acid; and 'wobble' base-pairing, i.e. permitting non-standard base-pairing at the 3rd anti-codon position. The record is from RNAcentral. Lineage: Bacteria; Pseudomonadati; Lentisphaerota; Lentisphaeria.